This 312-nucleotide ribosomal RNA is filed under the name uncultured bacterium. Its description in RNAcentral is "bacterial SSU rRNA". It matches the Rfam family "Bacterial small subunit ribosomal RNA", at positions 30 to 342 of the family's 1533-position model. The record is from RNAcentral.
AUUGAACGCUGGCGGCAUGCCUUACACAUGCAAGUCGAACGGCAGCGCGGGAGCAAUCCUGGCGGCGAGUGGCGAACGGGUGAGUAACAUAUCGGAACGUGCCCUGGAGUGGGGGAUAACUAGUCGAAAGAUUAGCUAAUACCGCAUACGCUCUGUGGAGGAAAGUGGGGGAUCGCAAGACCUCAUGCUCGUGGAGCGGCCGAUAUCUGAUUAGCUAGUUGGUAGGGUAAAAGCCUACCAAGGCGACGAUCAGUAGCUGGUCUGAGAGGACGACCAGCCACACUGGGACUGAGACACGGCCCAGACUCCUAC